UACAGAGGUCUCAAGCGUUGUUCGGAUUCAUUGGGCGUAAAGGGCGCGUAGGCGGCGAGGUAAGUCUGGUGUGAAAUCUAGGAGCUCAACUCCUAAACUGCCCUGGAUACUGCUUUGCUUGAGGACUGGAGAGGAGAUUGGAAUUCACGGUGUAGCAGUGAAAUGCGUAGAUAUCGUGAGGAAGACCAGUGGCGAAGGCGGAUCUCUGGACAGUUCCUGACGCUGAGGCGCGAAGGCCAGGGGAGCAAACGGG
Molecule: ribosomal RNA, 253 nt
Filed under: uncultured bacterium
Lineage: Bacteria
Description: partial 16S ribosomal RNA
Rfam family: Bacterial small subunit ribosomal RNA
Source: RNAcentral